GACGAACGCUGGCGGCGUGCUUAACACAUGCAAGUCGAACGGAAAGGCCCUGCUUUUGUGGGGUGCUCUAGUGGCGAACGGGUGAGUAACACGUGAGUAACCUGCCCUUGACUUUGGGAUAACUUCAGGCAACUUGGUCUAAUACCGGAUAGGAGCUCCUGCUGUAUGGUGGGGGUUGGUAAGUUUCGGCGGUUGGGGAUGGACUCGCGGCUUAUCAGAUUGUUGGUGGGGUAGUGGCUUACCAUGGCUUUGACGGGUAGCCGGCCUGAGAGGGUGACCGGCCAAAUUGGGACGGAGAUACGGCCCAGACUACUACGGGAGGCAGCAGUGGGGAAGAUUGCACAAUGGGCGGAAGCCUGAUGCAGCAAAGCAGCGUGCGGGAUGACGGCAUUCGGGUUGUAAACCGCUUUCGCCUGUGACGAAGCGUGAGUGACGGUAAUGGGUAAAGAAGCACCGGCUAACUACGUG
This 468-nucleotide ribosomal RNA is filed under the name uncultured bacterium. Its description in RNAcentral is "partial 16S ribosomal RNA". It matches the Rfam family "Bacterial small subunit ribosomal RNA", at positions 28 to 507 of the family's 1533-position model. The record is from RNAcentral.